This 453-nucleotide long non-coding RNA is filed under the name Neogobius melanostomus (round goby). RNAcentral's name for it is "lncRNA (ENSNMLG00000022068.1)". The record is from RNAcentral. Lineage: Eukaryota; Metazoa; Chordata; Actinopteri; Gobiiformes; Gobiidae.
GGCGGAGUUCAGGCACGACUGCUCGGACUCAGAAGUCAAAGAGCUGUUCCGAGCGGCGGCCGAGGUGGGACCUCAGCACAUCCUGAAGCUCUUCAGCUCAGACGGACGACUCUUAAAGAUCUCUCCAUCGCUUCAGCAAAACGACAGGAAGUCCGUGUACACGCUGCAGCUCGCCUCCGACUGCGUGGCCGCGCCCCCGCAGCUGGUUGCCAUGGAGACGAGGCUGCACCACCUGGAGCGCCGCGUGAUGGAGCUGAGCCAGAGUCCGGAGCCGCUGAAGGACCUGGACCGACAGGUGGAGGGCUUCAAGAGGAAACUGCAGAGUGUGGGUCACCUGAGCUGGGUGGGGAUGUUCAGAGACGACUCAGAGAAAUCCAUCCCCAAAUCCAGACCCAAACUGACCAAUAAAGGUGAGUCUAUGAGAUCAUAUCGGAAUCUCUGUGUGGAAGUUCA